GCGCUGAAUAGCAGGGCUGUCCACAGCGGACUCUUAAUCCGCGGGUUCGGGGUUCGAGUCCCUGGCGGCGCAC
Molecule: transfer RNA, 73 nt
Filed under: Phytohabitans rumicis
Lineage: Bacteria; Bacillati; Actinomycetota; Actinomycetes; Micromonosporales; Micromonosporaceae
Description: tRNA-Lys
Source: RNAcentral